This 253-nucleotide ribosomal RNA is filed under the name uncultured bacterium. RNAcentral's name for it is "partial 16S ribosomal RNA". It matches the Rfam family "Bacterial small subunit ribosomal RNA", at positions 524 to 776 of the family's 1533-position model. The record is from RNAcentral.
UACGUAGGGUGCGAGCGUUGUCCGGAAUUAUUGGGCGUAAAGAGCUUGUAGGCGGUUUGUCGCGUCUGCCGUGAAAAUCCGGGGCUCAACCCCGGACUUGCGGUGGGUACGGGCAGACUAGAGUGUGGUAGGGGAGACUGGAAUUCCUGGUGUAGCGGUGAAAUGCGCAGAUAUCAGGAGGAACACCGAUGGCGAAGGCAGGUCGCUGGGCCAUUACUGACGCUGAGAAGCGAAAGCGUGGGGAGCGAACAGG